RNAcentral lists this ribosomal RNA (253 nucleotides) under uncultured bacterium. Its description in RNAcentral is "partial 16S ribosomal RNA". It matches the Rfam family "Bacterial small subunit ribosomal RNA", at positions 524 to 776 of the family's 1533-position model. The record is from RNAcentral.
UACGUAGGGUGCGAGCGUUAAUCGGAAUUACUGGGCGUAAAGCGUGCGCAGGCGGUUUUGUAAGCCAGAUGUGAAAUCCCCGGGCUUAACCUGGGAAUGGCAUUUGGGACUGCAAGGCUGGAGUGCGGCAGAGGAGACUGGAAUUCCGGGUGGAGCGGUGAAAUGCGUAGAGAUCCGGAGGAACACCGACGGCGUAGGCAGCGCCCUGGACGACACCUGACGCUGAGGCACGAAAGCUGGGGGAGCGAACAGG